UACGUAGGGGGCUAGCGUUGUCCGGAUUUAUUGGGCGUAAAGAGCGUGUAGGCGGCCAGGUAGGUCUGCUGUGAAAACUCGAGGCUCAACCUCGAGACGUCGGCGGAAACCAUCUGGCUAGAGUCCGGAAGAGGAGAGUGGAAUUCCUGGUGUAGCGGUGAAAUGCGUAGAUAUCUGGAGGAACACCGGUGGCGAAGGCGGCAUCCUGGACCAAUUCUGACGCUGAGGAGCGAAAGCCAGGGGAGCAAACGGG
This 253-nucleotide ribosomal RNA is filed under the name uncultured bacterium. Its description in RNAcentral is "partial 16S ribosomal RNA". It matches the Rfam family "Bacterial small subunit ribosomal RNA", at positions 524 to 776 of the family's 1533-position model. The record is from RNAcentral.